Molecule: non-coding RNA, 72 nt
Organism: Phrynosoma platyrhinos (Desert horned lizard)
Lineage: Eukaryota; Metazoa; Chordata; Lepidosauria; Squamata; Phrynosomatidae
Source: the annotation of a GenBank genome assembly
GCCAGAGUGGUGUUGUGAUUUGAAUGUUGGACUGUGACUGUGAAGACCAGAGUUCGAUUCUCGGCUCGGCCA